AGAAGGUGAAGAGAAAAGAGAGAGCAUAUAAGAUAUACAUAAAAUAUAUAUUAUUUAUAAGAUUGCCCUAAUAAUUUAUUAUAUAUAUGAAGGAGACGAUGGAAGGGAGAAUUGAAAUGGAGAUUAGGGCACAAGUUUCCUUUAACUUAGGGGGCAGUGCUGCUUGAACCUCCUGCUGGACAAGGACGAGCAGGGAUAACACUGUGAACUUCUUGCACAACGUUGCAUGAAAGAGUAAUAUUACAAUCGGACACCAACCAGUUUGAAGCUGAGCGGCACAAAACAUCAUCGGAGGGUUGCAUGAGGUGUCGUGCUGCUGCGAGUGUUCCCUCCAUGAUGAAGGAGAAAGAAAUAGUAAUCACAAAAGCUAAAAUCAUCAAUUUCUUAUACAUAUCUAUCUUUUCUUCAAUCUCUG
This 415-nucleotide long non-coding RNA is filed under the name Vigna radiata. RNAcentral describes it as "long non-coding RNA (VRAD_LNC007202)". The record is from RNAcentral. Lineage: Eukaryota; Viridiplantae; Streptophyta; Magnoliopsida; Fabales; Fabaceae.